ACGGUAAUGCAAAGGAGCCAUUCAUCCAGGGAUGCUGGAGGUCUGGGCUCACCUGGGAAUGGAGAUGGCAACACCUACAUGUGACCUUUCCAGCAUGGCAGUCUCAGAGUGGAUAUGGCAACAGCUGCACAUGAACUCUCCGGCAUGGCAGUCUCAGAGUGGAUAUGGCAACAGCUGCACAUGACCUCUCCGGCAUGGCAGUCUCAGAGUGGAUAUGGCAACACCUGCACACGACCUCUCCGGCAUGGCAGUCUCAGAGUGGAUAUGGCAACACCUACACACGACCUCUCCAGCAUGGCAGUCUCAGAGUGGAUAUGGCAACAGCUACACAUGACCUCACCGGCAUGGCAGUCUCAGAGUGGAUAUGGCAACAGCUACACAUGACCUCACCAGCAUGGCAGUCUCAGGUUACUGGUACUUCUUAGGUCUCAGCUGAGGACUCCAGUGCAGGUGUUGCAAGACAGCAGACGUAGCACUGCUUAUGUGUAUCCUGAAGUCCCAUGUGUAUCCUGAAGUCCCAGAAAGCUGCUUCAAGUAGAUUCCAGUGGAGAAGGGAGUCACCAAGGCUGGACAGUCAUUUAUCCAUGGCAGGACUAGCAAAAAAAUCUGCACCAUCUCUCAUCGCACACACGUGGGUAAGGUUUGGACUGGUAUGAUCUUUUUCCAUAAUGUCAUUUUCGUGAUUUCUU
This 689-nucleotide long non-coding RNA is filed under the name Homo sapiens (human). RNAcentral's name for it is "HSALNT0206315". Lineage: Eukaryota; Metazoa; Chordata; Mammalia; Primates; Hominidae. The record is from RNAcentral.